GGAUUCGAAUGGGGGGAACCCUGACGCAGCGACGCCGCGUGCGGGAUGAAGGCCUUCGGGUUGUAAACCGCUUUCACCAGGGACGAAGCGCGAGUGACGGUACCUGGGGAAGAAGCGCCGGCUAACUACGUGCCAGCAGCCGCGGUAAUACGUAGGGCGCAAGCGUUGUCCGGAAUUAUUGGGCGUAAAGAGCUCGUAGGCGGCCUGUCGCGUCUGCUGUGAAAUCCCGGGGCUCAACCCCGGGCGUGCAGUGGAUACGGGCUGGCUAGAGGCAGGCAGGGGAGAACGGAAUUCCCGGUGUAGCGGUGAAAUGCGCAGAUAUCGGGAGGAACACCGGUGGCGAAGGCGGUUCUCUGGGCCUGUUCUGACGCUGAGGAGCGAAAGCGUGGGGAGCAAACAGGAUUAGAUACCCUGGUAGUCCACGCCGUAAACGUUGGGCGCUAGGUGUGGGUCCCUUCCACGGGGUCUGUGCCGCAGCUAACGCAUUAAGCGCCCCGCCUGGGGAGUACGGCCGCAAGGCUAAAACUCAAAAAAAUUGACGGA
This 543-nucleotide ribosomal RNA is filed under the name uncultured bacterium. Its description in RNAcentral is "bacterial SSU rRNA". It matches the Rfam family "Bacterial small subunit ribosomal RNA", at positions 358 to 917 of the family's 1533-position model. The record is from RNAcentral.